Molecule: long non-coding RNA, 894 nt
Filed under: Sorghum bicolor (sorghum)
Lineage: Eukaryota; Viridiplantae; Streptophyta; Magnoliopsida; Poales; Poaceae
Description: long non-coding RNA (SBIC_LNC009980)
Source: RNAcentral
GCCUCACUGCUAUGCAUGGCCCGUCACAACCCAUGACCACUUGGCCCCCAUGCCCGAUGUGCUAGCUAUAAUGCCACCAGCCACCCUUGUCUCCGCUCACGUUGCCUACUUAGUUACAGCCUACGCUAACACUCAUAAUCACUCCCUACGCUUGUUCUAGGCUAGGCACCGACUAAGCCUUCCCCACAAGUCGAGAGGCCAAGCCACAUGCCAAGUGCAAAGGAUGACAACCACUAGUACAAAGGGUGAGGGAGGCUCAGAGAGCAUGUCCAGCAAGGGAGCUACAAGCAACACCAAAAGAGUGUGGGAGGCGCGAGGGUUGGCGCCAACAAGUGUGAGCAUGGAGGACAACCGUGGUGGCGUAGGAGGCCGAGAUAGGGACAUGGGUGAGAUAGAGAGGUUAAUUGCAUUUUACAGACCGCUCCACCAUGUUUGCCAUUGAAUGUACAUCCUAUGCCGGAUCUAAGGGCUAAACAGAGGUUUAUGGACCUCUAGAGAACCGCUUUUAAAUAGUUUAGGGGACCAAAAAUUAAUUUGAAAGUUGAUGGACUCUAAUGACACCCUCAUAAAAGUUAAUGGACCUAUGGUGAAUUUUACUUGAAAUUUUAGUGUGUGUAAGAGAGAAAGAGAGAUUGAUUGAUUGAUUCAAAAAAAAUAAAAAAUAUAUUAUGAGAUGGCUGAAUAUAGCAAAAUGAUAUCUCAUUCAAAAUUUAAGAGUUCACUAACUUUUGUCUGAAUAUGCAACAAUAUAGAUUCCAAGCUAGUGAUUCGAAAGAAGGUAUAUAUACACAGAUUCCACAAUCUGCAGCGAUCUUUCUUUUAAGAAAAAUAAAAUGAAACCCCUUUAAUUAAGGUCCUAAACCUACUACACAGGCGAGCCGGAUGUAGCUUCCU